CUUACUUUUCCAGAGCCCCCAGCCCGAGACAGAGCCUUCCGGUGUGUCAGCUGAAGAGGUGCUCACCUUCGGUGUGUCAGCUGAAGAGGUGCUCACCUUAUCACACCCAGCCCACGGAGCCUGAUAAAGAAAAUGAGAAUCUCAGCCAUAAAAAAAGACAAAGCCAUGCCAUUUUCAAGAACAUGGAUGGACCUUGAGGUUUCAUGUGCAGCCAGCAACCGUAGAAUUAUGAGGCCCUGAAACUGCUUCACAAAUAACCAAGAGGGCUGAGUUCCUGAGGAAGGAAGAAAUUGCAUAAUAAAACAAUCCGAAAACUCCCCUCUUGUUCUGGUCUUAGGGAGUGGCACAAAUUCAAAGCUUCAGGACGGCCCCUCCCUGGCUCUGCGGCGCAUCUCCCACCUUUGAACAGCCAGAGAGCACUUUCUCCCAGGGUCACCAACUUGUCCCAGUUUGCCUGGGACCGUCCCAGUUUUAAAAUCGAAAAUCCAAUAUUCCAAGACCCCCCCGCCUUGGUCCUAGGCAAACCAGGACAGUUGGUCACCCCACUCUCACU
Molecule: long non-coding RNA, 553 nt
Filed under: Equus caballus (horse)
Lineage: Eukaryota; Metazoa; Chordata; Mammalia; Perissodactyla; Equidae
Description: lncRNA (ENSECAG00000060109.1)
Source: RNAcentral